This is an RNA transcript of Herpailurus yagouaroundi (jaguarundi), 3007 nucleotides long. It is a transcript of the gene named agmatinase (putative), with no coding region annotated. The record is from RefSeq and is a predicted model, not a curated record. Lineage: Eukaryota; Metazoa; Chordata; Mammalia; Carnivora; Felidae. The transcript has 8 exons.
AAAAAAAUGCAUUUCCAAUUUCUCUUCCUUAGAGAAAGUUUUCUUUCCCCCCUGUAACUCUUUCUGCUUUUAAAAUAUACUACUCUGAAAGGGAGAAGCAGGCGCCAAGGGCUUGCUUUUGCGGGGCGCAGACCCCAGGGACAGUGCGGUGGCCGCGGGGUGGGGGGCGGGGGGCGUCCCCCGGGGCCCGGUUCUGUUUACCGAGGGAGCCGGAGGCCGAAGUCCGGAGAGUGGGGCGGGGAGAGCGCGGCCCCUCGCCCGCCCUUGAUCCCCAGGCCGCCGGCCCUUUGAGCACACACAGUCGGCCGUUCGGGCCGCUGCGGGGACCGGCGGGUGACAUGCUGCGGCGGCUGGCGUCCCGCUGCGCCCUGAGCCUGGGGGCCCGCGGGGGCGCGCGCCCUGCCGCCGGGCUCCGCCACCUGGGCCGCAGCCCCCGCCGCCGGGCCUCCGAUGCUCCCCGGAACCAGCCCCCCAGCUCCGAGGUCGUGGCCCGGCCGGUGGGCGUCUGCUCCAUGAUGCGGCUGCCGCUGCAGGCGUCCCCCCAGGGGCUGGACGCCGCCUUCGUCGGGGUGCCCCUGGACAUUGGGACCUCCAACCGGCCCGGGGCGAGAUUUGGACCCCGGCGGAUCAGGGAAGAAUCCGUGAUGCUUCGGACAACCAACCCUAGCACGGGGGCCCUCCCCUUCCAGUCCCUCUCGGUUGCAGAUCUAGGUGAUGUGAAUGUCAAUCUUUACAACCUUCAGGACAGCUGCCGUCUAAUUCGAGAGGCCUAUCAGAAAAUCGUAGCAGCUGGCUGUAUUCCUCUGACCUUGGGUGGAGAUCACACAAUCACAUAUCCUAUAUUGCAAGCGAUGGCCAAAAAGCAUGGCCCCGUGGGGCUGCUGCACGUGGAUGCCCACACGGACACGGCUGACAAGGCCCUAGGAGAGAAGGUCUAUCAUGGGACGCCCUUCCGCCGGUGCGUGGACGAGGGACUCCUGGACUGUAAGCGCGUGGUCCAGAUCGGCAUCCGGGGCUCUGCCAUGACCCUGGAUCCCUACAGAUACAGCUGGAGCCAGGGCUUCCGGCUGGUCCUGGCUGAAGACUGCUGGAUGAAGUCCCUGGUUCCUCUGAUGGGGGAAGUGAGGCAGCAGAUGGGAGGCAAACCCAUGUACGUCAGCUUUGACAUUGACGGCUUGGAUCCCGCCUACGCCCCGGGGACAGGGACGCCCGAAAUUGCUGGUCUCACCCCUAGUCAGGCGCUGGAAAUCAUCCGGGGUUGUCAAGGCCUGAACGUGGUGGGCUGUGAUCUUGUGGAAGUGUCACCGCCUUAUGAUCCUUCGGUGAAGAAAAUAAACCUAUUGCUCCACACCUUACAGACGUGAGCUAAUUAACUCGAACACACACCCCUGGGAGGUGGCUCUUACUAGCUUGCCCUCCCGUCAGCAGAAGGAAAACCAGCCCCCAGGAACAGUGAUAAGGAAACACGGCCCUCCUGGCGGCUAACCUGCUGUUUGAGAUGCUGUGUGUGCUCCCCAAAGUGACAGUCGUCUGAACCUCGUGCUCUUCCUGAUAAAUCAGCAGCUUGUGUCGAUGACAGAUGCUCAGGAAUUUAUGUGCAAGAGGCCUGAGUACUCAAGUUUAUGCCAGUAAAACCUUCUGCUGGAGCGUCACUGGAGGCUGUAAAAUCAGGGCAUUCAGUAGAAGUCUGAUCCAACAGCUAAUAUUUCUAAGGAGUCUGAAUUAAAGAGAAGCACGUGUGUUGUUACAAGGGACAGAGCAUUUAGUUUAGGAUUAUCUAAGAACUGGAGAAGUGAACUUAAAAAAAAACAAACAAACCAACCCAUAGGACAGAAUCCCGUAUAAACAUCUCCUAUGUCUCCAGUUCCUCUUCCUUUACACUAUGGCUCCUCCUGAGGAACUCAGGGCUGCGUCUGGGUUUUAGGCCAUUUGUGAACAUAAACAAAUAGUUUGAAAGUAACAUGCAGACUCUCACAAAGAAACUGCCCACCCAACAGCCCAGGAGGGCGCAUGGAAUGUCUUUUCAACCAGACAGCGGGUGGCCUCCAAAGUGCCCUUGGUGACACUUCCUUAACCUACUCCCUGCCUCAGUUUCGCAUCAUCUGCUCUUUGCGCUGGCCCACCCUCUAGGGUAGCAGCUCCUGAGAUCUGCACUGAAGAUUCAGGCAUGUGUUUGAGUUACACGCAAAUUCAAUUUUGUUGAGAAUGGGUCCACGAUCAAAUCCUCCUCUUCCUGAUGCAAGGGCGACGCGUAAUCGUCACACAUUAAAAUAGUUUAUUUCUGUUUCCAGUCUGUAAUAUUCUUAAAACAAAAAUAACAUCAGCUUCAGUGCCUGUUCACAAUACAAAACAAAAACAACAUAAAAAAGACACCAUUUGCCAAGUGAGUUAUUUGUUCCUAAGAGUAUCAAAAGUGCAAAAUAUUCACCUUCUUUUCAGACCGCUCUCUAAAGUUUCAUCCUCCUCCUUGACAAACUGAGUGGACAGAUUCACAGCUGCCACACUGCAUUUGUUUCCAAGGGACAAGGUCAGGCAUUUGGAUGCGAGCAAUUAUUUCAUCUGUAAAGACAUUCUGCAUCAGCUUUUAAAGAAUUUUACUUAGGAAAAAAUUUGAGUGUCUGCUUCCAAUCUCUUUUCCCAAACAAAGCAAAUCACUUAAAACACAGUUAGACCUCAUUUCUUUUUAAAUCAGGAAAAACAUGUAUGUGCUGAACGAGGAGGCAAUCAGCCUAUUAAUUUGAAAACUACGGCCAAAUUUUCACGGUCGGUAGGUGAUGGCAGAGAGAGACCAUGGUGCUUAAUGGAAGUCAAGGUGGUCUUAUGGAAACGCUGCUGACUCAUAGCUGACAGUCUCUUAGACAAAUUAUGCCACCGGCACCUGGACGAUAAAAAAAAUAUUUGUAAGUAGGUGUGUAUUCUACAAAGACUUGUUUUAGGCCAGUUUUCAUCCCCAUCCGCUAAACAUGAUGCGUAGUCUCUAUCAACCAGAAAACCCUACUUCUAAAAA